GUGAGGAAUAUUGGUCAAUGGGCGGGAGCCUGAACCAGCCAAGUCGCGUGAAGGAAGAAGGAUCUAUGGUUCGUAAACUUCUUUUGCAGGGGAAUAAAGUGCAGGACGUGUCCUGUUUUGUAUGUACCCUGAGAAUAAGGAUCGGCUAACUCCGUGCCAGCAGCCGCGGUAAUACGGAGGAUCCGAGCGUUAUCCGGAUUUAUUGGGUUUAAAGGGUGCGUAGGUGGUUUGAUAAGUCAGCGGUGAAAGUUUGCAGCUUAACUGUAAAAAUGCCGUUGAAACUGUCGGACUUGAGUGUAAAUGAGGUAGGCGGAAUGCGUGGUGUAGCGGUGAAAUGCAUAGAUAUCACGCAGAACUCCGAUUGCGAAGGCAGCUUACUAAGCUACAACUGACACUGAAGCACGAAAGCGUGGGGAUCAAACAGGAUUAGAUACACUUGUAGUCC
RNAcentral lists this ribosomal RNA (445 nucleotides) under uncultured bacterium. RNAcentral describes it as "partial 16S ribosomal RNA". It matches the Rfam family "Bacterial small subunit ribosomal RNA", at positions 354 to 796 of the family's 1533-position model. The record is from RNAcentral.